This 23-nucleotide microRNA is filed under the name Homo sapiens (human). RNAcentral describes it as "hsa-miR-6874-3p". Lineage: Eukaryota; Metazoa; Chordata; Mammalia; Primates; Hominidae. The record is from miRBase by way of RNAcentral.
CAGUUCUGCUGUUCUGACUCUAG